GUUUUGGUCCUAAACUUGCCAUUGUUUUUUAUCAAAUUUACACAUGCAAGCUUCAACAACCCAGUGAGAUUGCCCAAAAUCCCCAAACAGCCAAAAGGAGCAGGCAUCAGGAUUCAGAGCUAUCUAGCCCAAGACGCCUUGCUACGCCACACCCACACGGGUAUUCAGCAGUGAAAAAUAUUAAAGUAUGAGCGAAAGCUCGACUUAGUUAUGAUAAACAUGACUGGUAAAUCUCGUGCCAGCCACCGCGGUUAUACGAGAGGUCAAAAACAAUGGCCAACGGCGUAAAGCGUGACCAGAGCUCAUCAAAAAAUUUAAAGCUAAACGAUAUCAAAGUUGUAAAACACCUUGAUUAUCAGAUAAUCAACAACAAAAGACUUUAAACAAUUAGACGACUUGACUUCACGAAAGCUAAGAAACAAACUAGGAUUAGAUACCCUACUAUGCUUAGCCCUAAACAUAGAUAGUAAACACACAAUGCUAUCCGCCAGAGAACUACAAGUGAAAAACUAGAAACUCUAAGGACUUGGCGGUGCUCCAUAUCGUCCUAGAGGAGCCUGUCCUAUAAUCGAUAAUCCACGUUUUACCUUACCAUUCUUUGCAAGUCAGCCUAUAUACCGCCGUCGCAAGCCUACCUUAUGAAAGAUCCAAAGUAGGCAAAACAGUUAAUAACUAAGACGUCAGGUCAAGGUGUAGCUAAUAGAGUGGAAGAGAUGGGCUACACUUUCUAUCACAGAACAAACGAACAGCACAGUGAAACCUGUACUCAAAGGUGGAUUUAGUAGUAAUGUAAACAAGAAAAUUUACCUGAAACCCGCUCUGGAGCGCGCACACACCGCCCGUCACCCUC
This 850-nucleotide non-coding RNA is filed under the name Trachylepis spilogaster (Kalahari tree skink). Its description in RNAcentral is "partial 12S ribosomal RNA". It matches the Rfam family "Bacterial small subunit ribosomal RNA". Lineage: Eukaryota; Metazoa; Chordata; Lepidosauria; Squamata; Scincidae. The record is from RNAcentral.